This 26453-nucleotide long non-coding RNA is filed under the name Capsicum annuum. Its description in RNAcentral is "long non-coding RNA (CANN_LNC020227)". The record is from RNAcentral. Lineage: Eukaryota; Viridiplantae; Streptophyta; Magnoliopsida; Solanales; Solanaceae.
UGGUGGUGACUUGUAAACUGGAGUUGGUGGUGAUGGUGAUUUGUAGACUGAGUGUGUAGAGAGUAGUAUGACUCCUUAGGUGGUGGUGGUGAAUUGUAAAUGGGAGUUGGUGGUGGCAGAGACUUAUAAACUGGUGCGGGAUUGAUAUAGCUCCUUGGGUGUGGAGGCGAUAUGUAGACUAGGGUUGGUGGAGGUGGUGACUUGUUGACUGGGUGUGUGGAGGGUAGUAAGGCUCCUUAGUAGUGGUGGCGACUUGUAAACUGUAGUCGGUAGAGGCGGUGACUUGUAGAUUGGGGUAUGAGGAGGGUAGUAUGGCUCCUUAAGUGGUUGUGGUGACUUGUAAACUGGAGUCGGCGAAGGUGGCGACUUAUAGACUGGGUGUUUGGAGGGUAGUAAGGCUCUUUGGGUGGGGGUGGCAACGUAUAAACUUGAGUUAGUGGAAGUGGUGAUUUGUAGACUGGGUGUGUGGGGGAUAGUAUGGCUCCUUAGGUAGUAGUGGUGAUUGGUAAAUAGGAGCCGGUGGAAAUGGCGACUUAUAGACUGGGUGUGUGGAGGGUAGUAAGGCUCUUUUGGUGGGGGUGACGACUUGUAAACUGGAGUUGAUGGAGGUGGCAAUUUGUAGACUGGGGUGUGUGGAGGAUAGUAUGGCUCCUUGGGUGGUGAUGGUGGUGACUAGUAAAGCGGAGUUGAAGGUGAUGGUGAUUUAUAAAGUGGUGCAGGAUGAUAAGGUGUUGGUGAAGGAUGGUAUGGCUCUUUUGGUGAUGGUGGAGAUAAAUAUUGAUAAUUUGCUGAGCUUUGGGAAGCCAAGCAAAGUGACACAAAAACCACUAAAAGAGUGGAAAAUAGAGAGGCCAUUUCUCCCAAAAAGAAACAAAGGAGAGAAGUUGUUGUCCCUUUAAGCUGCACUCAAAGCCCUUUGUAUAGCUUUCAUUUAGAAGGUAUAAGGCUAAAGUUAUGUAUUUUUAAUUAGUUUUGUCAUGUUGUCGGUUCAAUUUGACCUUUGUUGGUAUACUUUUUUUUUUUUGUUGGAUAGAAGGUGCAAGCUAAGCAAAGAAAUUAACUACUAUGGCAGCUAUACUAUUUAUGAUGCAAUAAUUCAAAAAAAAAUACGUGGAUCCCACAACUUCCCACAAGAUUUUAGUUAUAGGAAUCUGAGCACUUUUUUUUUACACUUAGGGUGUGUAUGGUACGAUGGAAAAUAUUUUCUGAAAAAUGUUGGUUGUAGUAAAAAAUAUUUUCUAAGAUAAUUCAUUUUUUCCUAUUUGAGGGAAAAUGACUUCCCUCAUGGACCAAGGGAAGUUAUUUUUCGGAAAAUGAUAAAUGUGACUUAUGCCCCCAUCCUCACCCCUCUUCCCACCCCAACAACACUCAUAUUCACAUAACUCAAAAAAUUCACAUUUUUAAAAAAUUUAUUUUACUCAAAAUAUUUUUCACUGUGCUUUGCUUCAAUUUUUCACUGCUUGAAAUAAAAAAUAGUGAAGCCCGACUUUUUUUCAUUUCCAAUGUUCGUUGAAUGUAUUGUUAUUUUCAUAUGCAUAGAGGAAGACUUACCUAUGUUACUUUUGCUAAUUGCAUAUUUUAUUUUGUCAUCGAUGUUACUUCUUUCACGAGGUUGAAUAAGCUUAUCGUCCCGUUAUAUUUCUAUUGAUUGUAGUAUCUUGAGAUUGUCCUGAAAAAAUGUUGAAAAGUGUCUCCUAUAUUUGCUAAUUAAUAGUUGCUUAAAUUUAGUGAUUGUAAUAUUUUAGUAUUCGAUAUUGAUAUUAUUUAUUAUGCUUAAAUUAGUUCUUACAAAUUGUUGAGUUGCUAGAUGCACUGAUAUACUAGUUAACAGUUAGUAGUAUUUUCUAAAAAAAAAAAUUUCACUCACCAAUCAAACACUAGAAAAUAUUUUUCUAAAAAAUAUUUUCUACUCACCAACCAAACACCAUAAAAUAUUUUUCGAAAAUAUUUUUCACUCACCAACCAAACAUGAGAAAAUAAAUAGAAAACCAACUUAUUUUCCAAGAAAACAUUUUUCAUGAAAAAUAUUUUCCAUCGUACCAAACACACCCUUAGUAUUUGAAGAAUUCAAUUCUUGUGGAUUCUGACAGCUUAACUAACCUUCACUUAAGUGCUGAGAAAUUUAAAACAAUAUGUAUACAGUAUCAUAUAUUCUUUAAAAGAAAUGAUAUGUCAUUGUUAAAAGAGUUUAAUCUAGAGAAAACUGUGCAUGUGACUCGCUUUCAUUACCAACUAAAUCAAUUAUGUUCUUUCCUUUUGUGUAGUAGAGCUAAAAGAAACAUCAACCGAUUAUUUUGUAGCUCAAUGUUGAAAACUUAUGUGGUUCAAUAUGAUAUCUCUGAAAAUUUUACAGCUUGUUUGAUAGCUGCUGCCUAAUAAUGUAUUGUAUCGUGUUGCUAGUUUAAAUAUAAUGUGUAUUUUGAUUGUUUCUUAAAUUUUACUGUAUCAUUAAAUCUAUAACUAGAUAGCAAUAAAAAGUCUCAUUUGGUGUAACGACCUAUUUGAUGUGAUCGCGUUGUUACCUUUUUUCCCCUUUUUAUUUAUUAUUUAAUUAUCUUAAUGCUCCUUUAUCCUAUAUUUUUAUAGUAACUCUACCUCACAUUUUUCUAUUUUCCUUCUAGGCUUAUCCUUGAACUGUUAUAUGAAGGAUGCAAUGUAAUGACGAAAAAGGUAUAAUAAAUCCAAAUAUCGUAACAUUCACUAAAAUAAUAAAGUACAUACAAUACAACAUGAUACUUUAUGAAACAAUAUCAUUCCAAGUUAAGGACUUGAUUAGAAUGUGCAUGUUAAGUGUCUGAUGGGUUACUUAAGUAUAAAGUUCAAGUCCAUAUAAAAAGAUAAACCCUAAUUAUAAUGCCUUCAUCAUGGCUGGUCGACAGUAGUCUACUACUGAAUUUCCUCCUUUGAACCCAAAUUCUAUUGUGAAUAUCCAAACCCUACCGUUGGAUAAAUCUUUUGUUGAAUCAAUCAGUACAACAAAGUUGGACACCGUCUCUCGCAAAGAGGUGGUCAUGGUGGAAGGAAUCCCGAAUGUCACACUGAAAAAAGUGGAUACAGUGAAUAAAAUGGAGAAUUUGCAAUUUGUUGUCAUAGGUAAAUUCACUUAAGAAUGGACGGGUAUAGAAGAAUUAAGGAAUAUUAUCCCACAGCAAUGCAACAUUAAUGGUGAUUGUCAAAUUGGAGUAUUCAGAAAUAAACAUAUUUUCAUUCGUUAGACACAGGAGUCGGAUUUUAUUAAUAUCAUCAUCUCAAAGGGAGCUUUUUCCUUGCACUGUAAGGAUGGGUUCUCUUAUUUGAUGCGAACACUCUCACACUUAUCUAUGAUCCCCUUUUCAAAGAAACUUUAGAGACUACAAAGACUUUCGCAUGGAUUUCUUUCCCAAAUCUAUUGCCUACCUAUUAUGUCAAGGAAUGUUUGUUUUCUUUAGCUGCAACAGUGGGAAAGCCUGUCCAACUUGAUCUAGCCACCAUUAAUAGGACUAGACCAAGUUGUGCAAGGAUUAAGGUCUUGGUUGAUCUAAAAGCUGAUUUCUCUAAAUCAGUCCGGAUGGAUAUUGAAAAUGAAGAGUCAGGUAAAUGCAGGACAAUAGUGAAGCGGAUUAAAUUCGACCAUAUUCCUAAGUAUUGUCAUGAAUGCAAUAUGCAAGUUCAUGCUAAGAAUCAAUGUAGAAACUUAGGCACCCCAGAGGAUGCAACAAUGGCAGUAACAGUGGAUAAUAAGGAAUAAAAGAGGCCAGUACAACAUCUUCCUAAAUUCACAAUGCCUUUUGUACACAAAUUUCAAAACGGAAAAGCAUGAGUUCUUUCGAGUGGGAUUGUAGUUGGAGAUCCUACUAACUGGAUGGUUAUUAAAAAUGAUAAGAGGAUAGUUAAUACUUCCCAACAGCCUCUUUUAAUGAUAUAGUUAAUACUUCCCAACAGCCUCUUUCAAUGACAAAUAACCAAUUUGCUGCUCUAGCUACCGACGACAAAGAACCUGCUGAAUUAAACAUUUCGACAAAGGAGAGUUCAAACCUUAAGGCAUGUACGGAUGUGUUCCAAAUAAUAAGGAAAAUGAAAAAGUUAAUCUGUGGUCCAAUAAAGAAUCUGCUAAAGAGUGGGUAUCAAGGGAUUUUGGCAAGCUAGGUGAAGUUCCCAAUUCUGUAAUACCUGUACAGCAACAAGGCAGUCAGCAACUAAGUAAUCAACAACAAAGGCAAGAUAGAGAUAAUAAUGCUAAAGAGAAUAAUAAAGAUGGUAAUGGGAUGGAGAAUGAUAUGCAGGUUAAAUCUUUAAUAAAUCAGGAGCAUAAUAUUGAUGAUGGUCAGCAACAAUGCCUCAUAGUCAAAAAGGACAAUCUGCAAUCUAUAGAAGAUGUGCAACCAGAUACCAAGCAAUAGUCAAUGCAGAUUAAUCAAGAUUUUUACAGUGGAAGCUAUGAUAAUGGAGAUAGGUCAGUUGAGGAAAGUGUGGGGAUAACAGUUGUGAUGCAAGGGGAACAAAAUGUGUGUUUAGAAAUAAUGGAGAUUCCAAAACCAGUGCAGAUAGAUGAAUCAUUUAUCGUUACCAAGAGUUCUCCCAACAAAGUAAUACAUGACAUUGUCUCUCAUAGUUUAGGGUACAUUAAAUGCAGUAAUCAAACUCACAUGGCCAAAGGAGUUAAAGAAGUAGAUGUAGAAGAUGAUUCGAAGGAUCAUGCUCCAUCGGAAGCUGAUUUAUCACCAAGACUGAUGAAAAUCUCUAAAAAAGGAUAAAAAAGAAUGUGGAUGGGAGAAAACUCACAACCUACCAGAGUUCAUCCUAAGCGAUCCAAAUCUGCCCUAAAUUAUCAAUGAAAGCACUUAUUUGGAACAUUAGGUCUGUGAAGACACAACAAGAUUUCAAAGACUUCAGAUGCUUAAUAAUUAUCAUAAGUUCACCGGUUUCAGUUUGUUAGAGCCUUUUCAGAAUGUUAGAUAUAAGAGAAGAUUGAAAAUGCAUAGGGCUAUGUCAAACUGCAAUAGCAAGAUUUGGUUUUUCUCCUCUCAAGAUGUGAUAACAACUGUUAUUAAAGACACUGAUCAUCAGCUACAGUUCACUUGCAGGAGUAGGCUCAGAGCUUAGAUUUAUUACUCUUGUUUAUGCAAAGUGUUCUAAAGAGGAGAGAUUAAUCUUAUGGAAGGAUAUUUAUCAAGUUGCUUCUGGAAUUUCAAAACCUUGGAUGCUAGGAGGAGAUUUAAUGUUGUUUUGAAUUCUGAAGAGAAAAUUGGUGGCCUUCCAAUUCUUGAUGCAGGCCAUGGGGACUUUCAAUCAUGUAUUUCUUAUUGUGAUUUGAUGGAGAUACCUUUUAAAGAAAGUUCUUUCACUUGGUGGAAUGGUAGAGCAGGUAAUGACUGUAUUUUAGAAAGAUUGGAUAGAAUUUUUACUAAUCAACAACAACAACAACAACAACAACAACAACAACAAACCCAGUGUAUUCCCACCUAGUGGGGUCUGGGGGGGUAAGAUGUACGCAGUCCAUACCUCUACCUCUGCUGAAUUUUUACUAAUCAAGAUUUACAAAAUAAGUUCAAUCACAUGAAGGUAGAACAUCUUGCUACUAGUUCAGAUCAUGCUCCCAUGUUGUUGUAUUGUUAUGACAGAGCUAUCAGUUACAAGAAAUCUUUUAGAUUUCUUAAGUUUUGGACUGAUCAUCCUAAGUUCCUAGAAGUAGUAAGGCAGAAUUGGUGUUCUUCAGGUUCUCAGAGUCCAUUCUUAGAUUUCAAAGCAAAGAUUAAGAGAAUUAAAGUUGCUUUGACAAGAUGGAGUAAAGAGACUUCUGGGGAUAUUUUUAAAUAGUUGAUAAUCAGGGAAGAAAUUGUCAAGAUCAAAGAGAAAUUAUUUGAGGAAUGCCCUACGGCUGAUAACAGCGAAGUGUUGCAAAGAGCUCAGUCCGAGCACAAAAUAUAUCUUCGUUUUGAAGAGAUUUUUUGGCAGCAAAAAGCAGGUUAUGACUGGUUUGAGAAUGGUGACAGAAAUAUUAAAUUUUUUCAUAGCACUGUGAAGGGGAGGAGGAAAAGAUUGAAUUUGAAUAGAAUUCAAAUUAAUCAGGGUAUUUGGCUGGAUAAAGAAGAAAAGAUAGCCGCAGAGGUUGUUAUGUUUUAUCAGGACCAAUUUAGACAAGAACAAGAGGCUAAUGUUUUUUCAUAACUGAAUAAUAUACCUAAGAGUAUUUCUGAUGAGCAAAAUAUUGUUUUAAGUCAGUAAGCUGAUCUUGAAGAAGUUAAAAAGGCACUUUUUAGCUUAAAUGAAUAUAGUGCAAGUGGCCCGGAUGGGUUAACAAGUAGGUUCUAUCAGGUUCGCUGGGAUAUUAUUGGUAAUGAUGUUCUUAAUCUGGUGCAAGAUUUCUUAAAAGGUAAUACUCUUCCCAAAUUCAUUAUUCAUACUAAUUUGGUGUUGCUUCCCAAGAAGGAUUUUAUUCAAUUUUUCUCAGAUUUGAGACCAAUUAGUCUUAAGUAAUUUUAUUAAUAAGAUCAUUUCUAGGAUUGUGCAUGACAAAAGUGAACUUCUUUUGCCUAGACUGAUUUCUUUUAAUCAAUCUAAAUUUGUCAAAGAGAGAAGAAUUAUUAAAAAUUUCCUCCUGACUCAAGAGAUAGUUACUGACAUCAGAAAAAUGGGUAAGCCGGCUAAUGUGGUCUUAAAGCUUGAUAUGACUAAGGCUUAUGAUAGGGUUUCCUGGUUUUUCCUGAUGAAGGUUCUAAGAAAAAUAGGGUUCUCAAAAUUGUUUAUGGACUUGUUUUGGAGAUUAUUGUCUAAUAAUUGGUAUUCUAUACUAAUUAAUGGGCGAUCACACGGCUUUUUUCACUCAACUAGGGGAGUAAAACAAAGAAAUCCUUUAUCUCCAGCUUUCUAUUUGAUGAUGCUCAAUAUGUAGGUUAUGAUAUGCCAAAGUGGAGUUCCAAUAUUAAUCAUCUUGCUUAUGCAGAUGACACUAUUAUAUUCGCUGCAGCUAACAGAUACUCUUUGAGAAAGAUUUUUUCAGUGUUACGGGAAUAUGAAACUCAAUCAGGGCAAAAAGUUAAUAAAGAGAAGAAUGCUUUCUACAUGCAUCAGAAUUCAGCUGCAGUUGAUAAACAAAUGGUGGAAGAUUGUGCGGCUAUUUCUAAAGGCCAAUUUCCUUUGAAAUACCUUGAAUGUCCUAUCACUCAUGCUAGAAAAAGAAAGAGUCAUUAUUCAGAGCUAAUUCAGAAGGUUAAGUCAAAAUUACAGGCUUGAAAAGGUAAUAUUCUCUCAUAUGGGGGGAAAGGAGGUCCUUAUCUCUAGUGUUCUUCAAAGUGUUCCUAUACAUAUCCUUUCUGUUGUUGUCCCUCCUAUUUGUGUAUUGAAGGAGCUUCACAGAAUAUUUGCAAAUUUUUUUGGAGUAAUAAGGCCGAUGGAAGAAACAAACACUGGGCUGCUUGGGUAAAGGUGUUUUUACCAAAACAGAAGGCAGUUUGAGUUUUAGAUCGAUGUUUGAGGUAUCUCAAGCCAUGUAUCCUAAGUUCUGGUGGAAGUUCAGAACUCAAAAUACUACUUGGUCCAACUUUAUAUGAGACAAGUAUUGCAAAAAGCAAAUACCUUCACUAGUUUAAUGGAAAGGUGGCUCGCAAGUAAGGAAGCAUAUGUUGCAAAAUAGGGAUCUAGUGGAGCAAUUCUUGUGGUGGAACCUAAAGGAGGUACUUCUACAGUUUGGUAUGAUAAUUGGACUCAACUUGGUCCUCUUUUCAAACACCAGGUAGAGGUCAUUCUUCUUUUCCAGUGAUGGAUAUUGAGGAAUUCAUGUUGGGCUCAGACUGGGAUUUUGAGAAUAUGCAAUAUCAUUUAUCAGAUAAUGUAGUAGAGCAUGUAAGAUUACAUUUGAGGCUUGUACGACAUCCUGGAGAAGGUGACAAGCCCUGGUGGAUUAAAUUUAGUUCUGGCAAGUUCUCGGUUAAAAGUGCUUGGGAAGAACGGAGGAAAAAAACGUUUGUAAUGAGUCAUUUCAGAAGAUCUGGGUAAAAGAGAUUCCUUUCAAAAUUUCUUACUUUGGUUGGAGAGUUUGGACAAAUAGGAUUCCUGUAGCCUCUGUUUUAGCUAAUUGGAAUCCUAACUUGUCUCCUCUUUAUUCAUAUUGUGUUUCAAGAAAUCAUGGAGCACCUCUUUCUAAAAGGUGAAGUGGUUUAUUUCGGUUUGGAUUUAUUACGCCAAUGCUGCAGGUAUUCUGGGGCCCUGGGUUCAAAUUAAACUAUCCAUAAAGAAGUGGUGGGAUAUAAAUGGUAAUUAAAGACAAAGAUUCAUCUUUCAGGUAGUUCCUACUCUCAUUUUGUGGUUUUUACGGAAAAGAAGGAAUGCAUUAGUUCAUGGAGGUUCAUACUCUACAGCCAAGGUUAUUUGGGAUAUUAAUGGUUUAAUUAAGAAAAUUCUCAGAAAGAAGUUUGGUUAUGAUCAGUUACCAUCUAGUUGGCCUCAAAUAGUUGCUUUUUGACUUAUUUAGACCUACAUUUUUAUCUAGAUGGAUAAGAUGGUAUCCCCCACCUAGGGGAUAGUGGAAAUAUAACACUGAUGGAACCUCGAGAGGUAAUCUAGGUCGAAUUUCAGCUGAUUUUUGUGUACGAAAUCAUGUAGGUGAUCUUGUGUAUGCUAAGGGUUUCUCUAUUCCAGAUUCCACUAAUCUGGUUGUUAAAGUCAUUGCUAUAGGAGUUGGUUUACAUUAUUGCUUAGAAAAUCAAAUUGUCAACAUUAUUGUGGAAUCUGAUUCCCUUGUAGUAGUCAACAUGAUUAAUGGAGUGUGGGAAAUUCCUUAGAGUGUGAUAAUGGAGGUCAACUCCAUUAAAGAUAUGAUGGAUUCUUGUUCAGCAAGAGUACAACACUCCUUAGGAAAGGGAAAUACUCUUGCUGAUUAUUUAGCUAACUUGGUUUUUCAUUUUGCAGGUAACUUUGAAUUCAACAGUUUUCAUGAAAUUCCAAGCGCAGGUAGGAAGAUUAUCAAUCUAGACAAACAAGGCAUUCCACAAAUGAGGAUAAGACAGUGUACAUCAACUAAUUCAACAAGGGAUGGAUCGCUACUGCAGAUUACAAAGUGAAUUUACAAACUCUAUUAGCAGUGACUAGUUACUGGUGAAUUUAGUGCAGUCUGAAUUAGUUUCGUUUGGUUAACAUACCAUGCACCUGUGGGAAUUUUUAGGUGUUACAUAGAGUAUAAACCCAGGACUCACUUAUACUAGUUGCUAAUUUCUAGGUAUAGAGUUUAUAAAAAUCAAGCACAAAUUUAGAGGCAUUUCAUAGUCUCAAAUCUGUUGAUGAGGAGAGGAUGGAGUACCCGGGACCUCAAAUUUAGCGGCGGAAGAUAGACAGGGUAUAAUUAUCAAGCAAUACAAUUCUUUUAUACAGAUUCCACUUCAGAGAAGAACAAAAAUAAUCAUUGCCAACUUAUGGAUUGCAAAGUGUCAAAAUACAAAUUUCAGCAUUUGGAGUAACACAAGAAGGCAAGGAGCAAGAUAAGUAUUAAUGGACAGUAGUGGUGAUUAACAUUCACUAAUACUGAUUGAUUUCUAAGUCAUACAAUUGAAAUGGGGGUUAAGGUGAACCUGUUAGUUCUGGAUCCUUGGUGGUGGUAUCAAUCUCCUUGAGGUUUAUUCCGCUAGGAAAAAGAGAGAACAGUGAAAUCAUUUUUUUCAUUUCACAGAUGAGUUUAGAAUAGAAAAAGGGAGGUGACUUACCAUAUCAUCUGCAAUAAAUAUUUAUUGAUUUGGAGCUGUAGAAAUUUAGUUGAAACCAAUUUCAUGAAGUUUGUAAGAGAUUAAAGUGUCUUAGUGAAAUUUGAUGGAUGUUCCAUGGCAAUAAUGGCUUCCACAACUUAAUGCAACAACCAGAUGAGGUUGGAGUAGCAAAGAUUGAAACCAUAGUUGCCUCUCCGUGAUGUCUUUCAGCUUUGAGUUUUAUCCACACAUUCCUUUUCCUGCUUACAUUUUCUGUUUUUGGUCUUUUCAGAUGUCUGGAUAUAUUUGUUGCUUUUGUUUUGGACCCGGGUCUUGCUUAACUUGGGCCAAUUUGUACAUAUCUUUUCUGCUCCUGAAUAAAUUGGGCUCUGGUCCAUCUUCAAUUAAAAAAAAGGAAAAAUGACAUGGACUGACCAGUUUAAAAAAAGGAAAUUUUGCAUAUAUACCGACAUGUUUACUCUUAAUUACCAAAAAUUUCAACAUUUUUCAAAAUCUCCAAAAAUUCCAACAUUUGACCUCUGAUAAUACAAGUUAAUCACAUUAGAUACAUACUGUUGAUAUAUGUAUCUAAUGUGAUUAACUUGUAUCAUACAUUAGAUAUAUGUAGGGUUACAUUAGAUACAUGUAGGGUUACAUUAAAUACAUGUAGGGUUAACUUGUAUCUCAAAAAUAGUCCCAAAUAUGAAAUGUUGGAAUUUAUGUAAUUUUUCAGAAGUAGGGGGAUUUUUAGAAAUUUUGAAAGUUAUGAUGUUUAUUUAUGUAAUUUUUUGUUAAAAAGAAAAAAAAUAGCCCACACUAUGAAAAUAUGGACAAUUGGAGCCAGUAGACCCAAUUUAUUUCCUGUUUUUUCAGUCAUUUGGCCCAAAACUAUUCUCCUUACACAAUUAAGGGGAUUAAAUACUCUUCACAGUAGGCUACUCUUAAAUCACUUUUCUUUUCAAACUAUACUUUCCCAAAAAAAUGUUCACCUCUAUUAUGUGUCGAUCAAUCUACUGUGUUUUGUGAUAACAAUUGAGUUAGUAGGGCACAUGCAGUCUCUAUACCCAAUUGAUACACUUUUGUACCAUAUUGAUACAUGUUUAUACCCAAUUGAUACUCUUUAUACUACAUUGAUACACUUUUAUACUCAAUUGAUACUCUUUUAUACUAGAUUGAUACACUUUUAUACCACGUCGAUACAGUAUGUAUAUUACAUAAAUACAUCUUUUACAGAGGAAAUUUGUGCAAGCAUAUACAGUAACAAUACCAAAUUAAUACAGUAAAUCAAAAUUAGUAAGUACGAACAUAAUUGAUACUCUUUAAAAUUAUAGUAUUAAUAGUACAUAAAGUAACAAAAAAAAAGAUCAAAUCAUCUUUCCAUCAAUUAUUGUUUUGAUUUAGUUCAUUCUUUCUCCUUAACGCUCUUUUAUAUUUCUAACUUCCUCUUCCUACCUUUAUUUUCUCUUCUUUUUUUCUUUCCUUCAUUACUAAGUUAGUUGUAAACACCCAUAUGAUGAAGUAUGUAUUUACUCUUGAGUUGAUGUCAUAUUUAUCCUACUAAGAAAAAUCACAGGUUCUGUAAGGAAUUGUCUAGACAUGGAGUACAUAUAAAAAUUUAUUCUGCCACUUGAAAAAAACCUGUAAAAAACUAAUUAAAUUCAGAUUUUUUGAGAUUUUAUACAAAAUUUAUGAAAUGAGAAAGGUAAAUUGGAGUAUCGAAAAAAGGUAAAGGAACAAAUAUUUAGGAGUUUGAAUGGAAAGGAAACUGGGAAUGAAAAGAAAAGAAAGAAAGGGAAAGUUACUUCAAGGAUGUUUUUGAUUUUGUUUAAGCGUAUGACAGUGAAGGUUAGUUAGUGGAAUUACUCUGUGUCUAUUUAUGAUGUAUUUAAUUUUGACUGCUAUUUUUUUAUAUUAUUUUAGUUUUAGGUGUUAUUUCUGUCAUUUGCCCAAAAAAAAAAACUUACUAUUUUACUACAAUUCUUGUUGGUAAGAAUACAUUAUUUCUUUUUUUUUUUUAGGGCAAACAACAUAAAUUUCGAGAAUUUGGAGCUUAAUUACAGAAAAUUCUGAUAUUUUGCAUAAUUGUUGAAAAUCUCAAUUUUGGAUCUGUUGAGAUACAUUAUUAGCUUCUGAUACAAUCAAAAAGAUACAUUUUUAACUUUGUAUAGAUAUAUAAUUAGCUUCCGCUACAUAUUUUUUAAAUUUUGCGUUUGUUGAGAUAUAUAAUACAUCCAAUGAAGAUAUAUUUUUUUCUUUGUAAAGAUAUAUAAUUAGCUCCCAGUGCAGUUUUUUUAUUUUUGGGUCUGUCGAGAUACAUAAUAAGCUUUCGAUACAUCCAACGAAGAUAUAUAAUUAAUUGAGCUUUUUGUAGUUAUUUUGUAAGAGUGAAAAUUUUGUAUAAAUAUAAUAAGUUAAGAUGUAUAUUUAUACUAUUUUUCCAUAAUUUGCUUGCGAACCAAAUCGACCACUAAAGAAUUGAAAAGUUAAACAAUUUGUUCCCAAUACAGAACAAACUUUAGCCUAAAAUUUAAUGCUAAAAAUUACUACAAUGAGCUGAGUGGCUGAAAUGGUGCCACUUAAGAAUAAUUUGGUGGAUGAAAUGAAUGAAUUGUUUUGGAGUACAAAUUUUGAUUUAGACAAUCUAUUGAAAUUUAUUAUAGUACUGUUUAUAUUUAGGGGCCAUUUUUCAGGAUCUAUGAAAAAUUUAUAAUGUUGAGUAGAACAUACUAUAAAAGUAAUGUUGGAUAGAGCAUAUCACACAUUAGCACAAUCCUAAUCAAUAAUGAUAGCUAUUCAUCUCUAGUUCACUUUUAUAGUUAAUCAAAGAAUUAUUAACAACGAAAAUUAAUUUUCUUGUUUUGGUUUUCUAUCAUUGAAUCAGCAAUAGUUUGAUAUAAGAACUAUUCAGAACAGACUAAAUUAAAGAGAAAGAUGGAAUACCGUCAAUGAAAAUAAUAGGAUAUGAUAUCUUCAAAGAUAAAGAAGGCAGUGAACUUUUUACACAUAUAAUACGUAUAAUUAUUAAAGAAUAUAAAAGAAAUUAAAAAAAGGACAUACAGUACAUAUAUAAACUGGAAAAGAAGAUCAAUAAUGUAAAAGUUUGAUGUUAACACUGUUCCUUAAUUAAAAUUUCCAUAAUGAUUAUACUCGCUAUUUUCUUUCAUUUGCACAAAUCAAUAUGCUCCUUUCCCCCCUUUUUUUCUCCUGAUCACUCCUUAAAGAACGAGACAUAUAGCAUACAUAGAGAAGAGAGUACUUUGUCUCCCUCAAUAAAUACCUUGAGAAAAAAAUGUAACUCAUUAGUAGUUUCUUGAUUUUGUAAAAUUUUCUUUAUUUAAAAAAGAGUAACAUUGGAAGAAGGUCAUUAGUAUCUUUUUUAUUAUCUAAAACAACAUUUAUUAUCUUUUUUAUUAUCUAAAACAACAUUUAUUAGGAGCAAAAUAAAAAAGCUAAACAACCACUUAUUAGAAACAGAGGGAGUACUAAUUAUCUGAUAGUGUUUUCAGUGUUACGCAUCAUGAACUAAAAGCUUAAUUUAAGAAGCAUUGACUGCUUAAUGAAAUCUUUUAAUUCACAAUGAUAAUAAGGAAAUCCAAUUUGUGUUGUAUCAUUCUAGCCUUUCCAUUUUUUAUGGAGACAAAGCAUUAAUAGACAAAUGGAGAUUGGACAUAUCAAGAUUUCAGUCUCAUCCUGUCAAAUCAUUAAUUGUAAAACCUUCAUGUAUUUCUAUGUUCAGCCUAAGAUAUUAAGGGGUUAAUAUUCUUUCAAAACAUGGAGAGUUUCUGAUAUUGGGAGACAUGGUUGUUUGUCGAAUAUAUUUAUUUCUCAAUAAUUGAAAUAUAUAAUUGUAUUUGAUGUGAAGAAAGUAUUAGUUAAAAUGCAGUUUGGUUCAUUUUGGCUAGGGAUUCCAUCCUUUCCAUGUAUAAAAGUUUUUGAAUGUAAGGAUGAGAAAUCAAGGUAUCUGCUACACUUUUUUUAUAUAUACGUGUAGCGCAUGUAUCGAGAAAUUAGUAAAAGAAAAAAAAAAUUCCUCAGCUAAUUCUCAAUCAACACCAACUCCAUCUUAGGAAAGUGUGGUUGGUUCUGUUCUUCCUCGAAUUCAAUGAAUUUUUGUCAUAUUGUCAUACAUAUAACGAAUAAUAUAUAUAUNNNNNNNNNNNNNNNNNNNNNNNNNNNNNNNNNNNNNNNNNNNNNNNNNNNNNNNNNNNNNNNNNNNNNNNNNNNNNNNNNNNNNNNNNNNNNNNNNNNNNNNNNNNNNNNNNNNNNNNNNNNNNNNNNNNNNNNNNNNNNNNNNNNNNNNNNNNNNNNNNNNNNNNNNNNNNNNNNNUAUGCCUCUUUUCCUCUUUAAAUUUUAAAGUAAUAAUUAAGAAGAAAAAAGAAGAAGAUACUAUUCAAUAAUUUAAUUCUGAUACCAUCAACAUGGAAGACUCCAUUUGCUUCAUCUAACAAUGGACUUUGGCAUUAUAUAAUUAACAAAACAAUUAAUUAUUAGGAUAACUUAAUCACCGACAAAGGUUUCUUACUAUUAUCCUUAUGAGAUUCCACUAGUUAAGCUAAAUAUUUUUAAUCGACGUAAGAGUUAUGAAUGUAUAAACAAGUAGAUCUUAGCUACAUUGACCUAGUCAAUCAUUAUUAUUACCGACAUAUUUAUGCUAUACAAAUAUUUGUCCUAAUGCUAUCUUUUAUUUAUUUUUUUAAUGGAAAAGGGUCAAAAAGAUUCCUGAAUUAUUCGAAGUGGAGCAAAAAUAUCCCUCAUUAGUUUUUUGUCUCAAAAGUAUCCCUCUCUAAUGAAAUAACACCAAGCAUGUCAUGUAGACAAAAUACGUCACUUGAACAGUUCACGUCAGAUCGACCAUCUUUAUUAAAGGUGAAUGCUCCAUUAAAUGAGAGAUUUUCCAUGUGGAUAUUGGCGCCUAGCGUGGACUGUUCAAGUGGCGCUUUUUGUCCACGGACAUACUUAGUAUCAUUCUGUUAGAGAGAUGAAUAGUUUUGAGCCAAAAAUUUAAUGGAGGAAUAGUUGUAAGCAAAAAAAUUAACGAAAGAUAUUUUUACUUUAUUUCAAAUAAUUUAGGAAUAUUUUUAAUCGUUUUUUGCUUUUUUAUGAUUUCUAAGUUGCUUAUAAUUUUUUUAUUACUACAUGAUUAACAAUAUUUUUUUAUUUCCAUAAAUAACAGAGAGUAAACUAAGUUGCACCUUAAUGGUCGAAAAGUAUUCACUAUUUUUUUUAGACUUAAAGAGGUGAUUCUGAUACAUGUCUUAUGAACAAUCAUUACAAAUUUUAUUAUUUUAAAUUUUGUUUUAGAUAAGUCUAUGAUUAAGUUGUUGGUGACCAAUUUAUUCAAUUGAGUGAGGCUGGCAUGUCCAAAGAUUUUAGGACGAAGAAACGGGUUAUUAUGUUAAUUAGGUAGAUUUAUUUUAGGGAGAAAUAAGACAUAUGCUUUAAUUUGUAAAUAUUAAUAAGUAUUUUUCCAUUUAAGCAUAGCUUCUUUUAAAUUUAAAUUAGUAAUCAAACAGUGUUUAGUAGUAUUUUCUACCUUGUUGGCUUUGUCACACAUUUGAGAGAUGCUAAAAAUGUGUAUUAAAAAAAAAAUAAGAUGGAAAGAGAAGCAUACUGGCUCAAAGGUAAAGCCGCUAAAACGUGCUUUAAGGUUCAAAAAUAGUAUUUUUAUUAUAUAAUUAGUCUCUCCUAUGUUUUACAGUUUAUAGUCUAUAUGCAAUAAAUCAAAUUCUAUUAUAUAAUUUUUUAUAUAAAAAUAAAAGUUUCUUUAAAGUUAUUAAAGGAUGUCCAUUUGUUGUAAUAAAAUACAUUGAUUUUGGUUCUCAGAAUCCUAUUGGUACAUAAUAAACUUUGGCUAUUUUAAUUCAAAGUUUUAAAAUAUCAAAUACAAUUCUAUAAUCUUUAACUAAAAAUUUAAAAAUAAGAUUAUUAAACUUCCGAUGAUAUGAUUGUAUAAGAAAAUAAUAAACAUUUUAAAAUGUUAUUGUAACUUUAUAUAAUACAUGUAACAGUAUUUUUCUAGUGAUUAUAAGAAGAAUUUUAUUGAAAAAUCAAACGUAAUUGUAACUUGCGGUAUUGAAAGUAAAAUUUGAUGGCGAGGAAAAUAUGAGUCCAUUCUUAUGUCAUUAAAAUUUAUAAACCUUUUUAUUAAGAUGACUUGAAAAUGGUAUUUAACUAUAUAUAAUUUAUAAUUUUUUAAUUAUCAUAAAUAAAAUAUUUCAUUUUCGUGAUAUUUUAGUUUGGAUUGCUUUCUAUCUAUCAUUAAUGACAAAAUACAUCGUCAGACCCCUUAAAUUGACACCAUUUUUCACUUUGGCAUCUUAAGUGGACAUUGUUCACCUUUGGCAGUUCAAAUAACCAUAAAGUGUAUCAUUUUGACAUCUUUCGACAUCAAUAAAAGUGUGUGUUACACUCACUGUCAACGUGGAUAAAACGGCCAACUGAUUUAUGCCAAUUCAUUUAAAUUGCCACAUCAUUAUUUAUAUUCACAAUUAGUUUUAAAAAAAAUAAAAUCAAAACAUAUGGCAAUUAAUGACAUAAUUAUCUAACUCAUUAAUAUAUAUACAAAAUUAAAUUAAAAGAAUCAAUUAAUUACUGACACGUGACAUUUUUCAAAAUAAUUAUAAAAUUAUUUAUUUUAUUUGGACAACCCUCCACCCACCUCCCACCCCCAAACUCCAAAGUCAUCUUCUCUACCACCAUCUAUCCCCCCGAUACCCCCCACCCUAAAUCAUCUUCUCUAUUUGGCAACACCCCUCUUCCCGUCAUGUUCUCCAUCUCCCUCCCCCCCCACCACCCCCAACCCCUGCCUGAGUCAUCUUAUCCUCUCCAUUUGCCCCUUUGAAAAGAUGAACACUCAAUCAAAGAUUAUAGUAUAUAUGUAUAUCAAAGACCUUGAUUAGUCAUAGCUUGACCUCAAAAAUUAGAAGGCAUUAAAUGACUGUUUUUUUUCUUAACAAAAAAUAAAAAAGAAAUGAUUGACCUUGAAAUAUAUUCAUCAGUAGUAUGUGUGAACCUAUUCUUUGGCAACGCAGUGGUCUUCUUACUACUUCAGUUGCAGUCAUAACAUGUUGACAAAGAUGGUGAUUGCUCAACAACAAAUCACUCGUUGUUGUUAGUGUGUUAGUGUGUUUCGUUAUUCUUGAAAAGUUCAACCUCCAUUAAUGGAAGUUAAGCUAAAGAAAGGUUGUGUGAAGAAGGCAAUGUGAGGAAAUUUUUUGUAAUUAUUUGGUCAAUAAAACAUGUGCCAUUAAUUUAUUGGAUCAAUUUUUACUGAUUUGGCAAUAGAGAUUUUCAAUAGUUUUAAAAAAAAUUUAAAGAUGAAAAAUUACAAAAAUAUCCCUAAAAAUUUAUGAAAAUACUCUUCAAACGCUCCAAAAAGUGAGCAACGUCCACUUGAAGUGCCAAAAUGAAAGAUAGCACCAAGUUGAGGACCGACAAUAUAUUCUUUCUUCAUUAAUUAGUGCAUGUACUACUCCUGUACUCCAUUGGUUUUGAUUUUUUCUUGUUCCUGCACAUUAUUUCUCCUUUUUUACUGUCUAUAUAGUACUAUUUUUUAACUUAGUAUGUUGAAAUUAAUUAUUUUUUAUUUGCAUAUGAAAAAGAAAUACUUAACUAGAUUGAUUCUUAUUCGUAUAUAAAAAGUUAAAAUAGUGAAAUUCAAGAAAAAUAUAUGAAUUUUAUAUUUGGCUUUAGAUGGCUAAUUAUAUUAAGCCGCCCUUGAAGGGACGGUGAAUUGUAAUAUUUUUUGUGGUUGACUAUGAGGCGAGCUAUAAUAUGAAAUCAAAUAAGUAACAUAGUAUAAUUAUGUGCUAAGUAAUGUGUCAUAUGAUAUUUUUCAAUUGAUUUGAAUUCAGUGUGAAUUAUAGUUAGUCCUUCCUUUUGGAUUUUUGUUAAACUGAAAUUUUCAUUUUUAUUACAUAGAGAGAGAAGUUAUAAAAAGGAUGAUUACAACGUGUUGUAACUUUUCAGGACGAAGAACAACAAGUCAUUGUUUUAUUAAAGAGGGAUUGUCCCUUGUCCAUAUCAGCUUUCAAGAAAAUAACAGAACAAAUGUUGAAUCUACUACUAUGAGAAAUUCAUCAUUUGUUUUGUUGGAGUUAGCCAAUGUCUGCUUUCUCCUUCCUAAUCCUAAAAUUAGCCAAACCAACUUUAUCCAACCUAUAAGUCCUUUAUAUUCAUCAUUAAGCUCUUGAAAUUGUUGUUGAGUACAAUGUUGAGGGUGUACUUAAUUUCUAAUCAUACAAUAGCGGUCUUUUUCACUCUUUGUAGUUGAUAUAUUGCCUCACCAAACACUAUUUUCCUCUCUUCGCUCUUUUUAAAUACACAAUAAAUGAAUUAGGAAGUUACAAUGCUUGUUAAGAAUAGCAUAGAGCUUUGGAGAAUGUUUGGACAGGAUGUACAGUUUCUUUUCCUAGAAGGCAUAUAUAGUCUUUGUGUGCUUGAUGUCUUGAAAAAGGAUAGAGAAAGACAAUCCAUACUACAUGAAAAAUAUUGAAUUGAGACAUAAUAUUUAUCAAUGGACAAGUCUGGCAUAGAGUUUAAACGGAUUUGUGAUAGAAUUAACUAAUUUAUAGUGUUGAUUUUAAUUUUUUCAAAAAUAAAUCAUAAAAUAGAUUGCCUAGCUUGACGUGUUAUGUGAUAUUAUGCAUAGAUUAAGUCCAUUGGAGGUUGUCUGAUUAGAGAAUCGGACAAUGCUUAGCAUGGGAAUUUCAUUGAAUAUGGAGCUAAGUGAGACUUUAAUCUCUCAUUUACUUGCUUUUUCAAAAGCAUUAUUUAAAACUGAGAAAUCGCUUCAAACUACUCCUCCACCCCAUUUUAGUUGGGCACAUUCUAUUUUAUACGGUGAUUAAGAAUCAUAAAUUGAAUGAUAAAUUUUACGAUCUUACCCUUUACUCAUAUUAAUGUUAUUCGUUGGGCAUAAGAAUGAACAUUGAAAUUGAAAUUGUUAACAUUUAAUAUAUACUAAAAAUUGUAGGGGAAAAAUAAAAAAAUAAUUAAUUUUAUCCUAAUUUAGUAAGUGGUCUUUUUUGGUGGGCUGAAACGCAUUAAAAAGAAAUAGCGGAGUAUUACAGUAGCACCUGGAUUAACCAGGAUCUACAAAAUUUGAGUUUGAGCUUAUGCCCUCUAAUGAAACAUUACAACACCUUGUUUGCCUAAUGAAACUAGUUCCUAGGAUGUCAGCCCAGGUAGCUUUGCAGCAUACAUUGGAGGAAUUACAAAAGAGUUUCUCUGUCCACAAACUUUCAGUCUUGCUCCUUCCUUAGCUAAUGCAUCCUUCACCAUAUUCUGCUCUUUAUAGCAGUGCUGGAUUUGUGGUCGUCCCAGACUCCUGAUUAGCAACCUGCAUCCAUUAAUUAUGGCAUUAUAGUGGAGGUUUCCCUCUUUGAGCAUAAUAAUAACCUUUUUCGAGUCUACAUUGAUGUCCACGGGAACUAAGGACAUUUCCUCCAUAAUUUUUAGUCCCUUUAGUUGAGCAAAGAGCUCCAUCUGGUUAUUAGUAAUCACAGGGAAAACUUUUUUGAAACCUGUAGUCCAAUUCCCUUCAUUGUCUCUAAUAACCCCUCCAAUACCACCCCUACCAGGAUUUCCCAAACAUGAGCCAUCAGUGUUAAGUUUAAAUCUUUCUUUAGAGGUUGGUUCCCACUUAACACUAAUGUUCAAUAAUCUAUUUGUCACGACCUGAAUCAAGGUCUGGCCGUGAUGGGCAUCCCUAGCCAACCAAGGUCGGAGAUGACCCCUAACCUUACCUCAAGAGCACAUCAGUAAAAACAAACAACAAAAUCCAACCAAGAUAAAAAGAGAAACAUAUGAUUCCAAAAGAAAGUUAAGAGUCAAAACCAACUCCAUAAUAAUAUCCCGACACUGCCUACAAAAGUCUCUAAUCCAAAAAUACCAACUAAGUCAAGACAUGUCCCCGACUAUAACAAAAGAAAUUCAAAAGUUCUGAAAUGAUAAAUGUAACUAAGAAAGAGGCCAAGUCUUUUGAUAGUUCAUAAGUUGGUUGAACUUGUGUUGAACUUAUUGUGGAUUAAAUACAAAUUUUGUACCCAGAAUAACAAUCUUAAGGAAUUUAUUAAUAAUUUUAAUUUUUGAGUUUCUAGAGAUUAAAACUUUUUGCUUUCUACGCUGUUUGAACUUUAUAGUGAUUUGAAGUUAUAAAAACUUCAUCACGGGUUAAUGUUCAUUCAGUUGAUGAUUAGAAGAACAUAAAAGCUUCAACAUUAAACUAGAAAUAAGUUGUUUAAAGUUUUUAAAACUUUAUUCUUAGUAUUUUGACUUACUAAAUUGGUUGUCUUUUUGUCACAGUAAAAAUGAUUAUUGAAAAUCAAGUUAAUGAUGGAAUGGUCAAUGUCACAACAACAAAUAUUGCUACUUAAAAUCGUUCAAAUGCUGCUCCGCCAAGGCACUGACAGAAAAAUCAGAAAGUUUUCUAGUGUGGAUUUUAAAAGAUGGCAGCAGAAGUUGUUCUUUUAUCUGACUACAUUAAAUCUACAAAGGUUCAUCACUGAAAGCAUUUCAGAGUUUUCGAAAGAAAUAUCCAAAAAUAUACUUUAUUACUACAAAAGCUUGAAAGCACUUGAAUUUUUUAUAUAAGAACUACAUACUGAGUGGCUACAACAUGGCAUGUACAAUGUGUACAGCAAUAUGAAGACCUCUAAGGAACUAUGGGUAGCUUUGGAAAAGAAGUACAACAUAGAGAAUGCAUGAAUGAAGAAAUUUAUUAUUGCAAGAUUUGUAGAUUUUAGGUGGUAGACAGUAAUACUGUAGUUACCCAAGUUCAAGAACCGCAAGUCAUCAUUCAUGAUCUCCUCACCAAAGGUAUAAAUUUGUUCUUGAUACUUACAUAGUCUCUGAUGUAGGCUUAAUUGUGAACGAGGCUUAUCAAGUAGCUGCUAUAAUCGAGAAGUUACCACAUUUGUGGAAAGACUUCAAAAACUACUUAAAGCACAAGCACAAGGAGAUGUCUUUCGAAGACCUUAUUGUGAGGUUAAGAAUCGAAGAGGACAAUAAAGCAUCAGAAAAGAGGUCUCGAUGGAAUUUACAAUAAGUAGAGAAAAUAUUGUGGAAGACGACCCCCAAUAAAUUAAAGAGAGAAAGGAAGCGUCAGGACAAUAAGGCAAUCCUCCUAAGAAGAAAUUCAAAGAAAAUUAUUUUAACUGUGACAAAGUUGGCCACAAGUCUUCAGAUUGUCAGGCUCCUAAGAAGGACAAGAAAAGAGGAUCAAGCUAACAUGGUUGAAUCCAAGAUGAUGUGGAGAUCUAUGUGCUAUGCUUUUGGAGUGCAUGUUGGUUGAAAAUCCUAGAGAGUAGUGGAUUAAUUCAGGUGCCACUAGCCACAAUGUGCCAACAAAAAAUUAUUUCCAUUAUAUUUUCUGGCUCAGGCUAAUGAGAACAUAUUCACGGUAACUCUGUUACGGUAAAGAUUGAAGGAAAAUGCAAGAUUUACUUGAAGAUGACAUUGGGCAAGGUGGUGACACUAAACAACGUCCUUUAUGUUUCAAAGUUGCGAAAGAACUUAGUUUCUACUUCACUUCUAACUAAAAAUAGAUUCAAAUAAGAAUUUGUUUCUGACAAAGCUGUAAUUAGUAAGCAAGAAGUGUAUGUAGGUAAAGGUUACUUCAUCGAGGAUUUUUUUAAGAUCAGUGUAAUAAAUGUUGAAAUCAAUAAAAAUUCUGUUUCUUCUUACUUACUUGAGUUAAAUGAAUUAUGGCAUGAACAUUUAGGACAUAUUAAUUACAAAACUUUGCAAAAACUGAUUAAUUUAAAAAUUUUGCCUAACUUUGAGUGUAAUAAAUCAAAUUGUCAAACAUGUGUGGAAUCUAAGUAUGCUAAGCAUCUAUAUAAGUCUGUUGAAAGGAAUUUCAAUCCCUUAGACUUAAUCCACACAAAUAUUUAUGCUAUGAAGUCAAUACCAUCUCAUGGUGAGAAAAAGUAUUUCAUAACUUUUAUUAAUGAUUGCGCUAGAUAUUGUUAUUUUUAUUUGCUAAAUGAUAAGAAUAAAGUAAUAGACGUAUUUUGGUAAUAUAAAACUAAAGUUGAAAACCAGUUGGAUAAAAAGAUCAAAAUAAUAAGAAGUAAUAGGAGUAGAGAGUAUGUAUCUUCUUUUGCAGGGGUAUGUUAGAAAAAAGGAAUUAUCCAUCAAACUAAUUUCCCGUAUUCACCUCAAUCAAAUGGGAUUGUGAAAAGAAAAAUUGAAUGUUAAAGAAAAUAAUAAUUGUCUUACUCAUAAGUUCAGAUAUACCGCAAAACUUGUGGGGGGAAGUUAUCCUUACAGCAAAUCGAAUACUCAAUAGAGUUCCCUAUAAGAAGACACACUCUAUCCUAUAUGAAAAUGAAAAGGAAGGAAACCCAACUUGAAAUAUUUCAAAGUGUGGGAUUGUCUAGCUAAAGUCCAAGUCUAUAUACCUAAAAGGAUAAAAAUAGGACCAAAGAUUGUGGAUUGUGUGUUCAUCGUAUAUGCUACAAGGAGUAAAGCAUUUCAAUAUUUGGUUCAUAAAUUCGAACCAUGAAAAUACGAUAAUCUGAAUCAGAUAAUAUUAAGUUCUUUGAAUACAUUUAUCCGUAUAAAAUUGGACAUGAGAUGUCUAGUGGAGGAUCUAAACAACCUCGAGAUGAACCAAAGGAGAAUGUACUUAAUAAUGAGAAUCAAGGUGUAGUACACGUCAAAUACCGUCAAUUUUCUUUGGAUAAGAUUUUGUAACAUUUCUUCUUGAAAAUGAGCCUUAAAAAUUGAAAGAAACGAUGUCGUCUUCAGACCCAUCCUUUUGGAAAGAGGCAAUCAAUGGUGAUAUAGAUUCAAUCUUGAGCAACCAUACUUAGGAAUUGAUUGAUCUUUCUCCGGUAAAUAAACCUUUAGGUUCUAAAUGGAUCUUCAAAAGGAAAAUAAAAGCUAGUGGUACUUUUGACAAUUAUAAGACAAGACUUGUUGUGAAAGAUUUUAGACAAAAAGAAGGCCUUUAUUAUUUCGAUACAUACUCGCCAAUAACAAGGAUAACGUUCAUUCAGAUGUUGGUUGCGUUGACGACAGUAUAUGAUGUUGAAAUUCAUCAAAUGGAUGUGAAUACAACGUUCUUAAAUAGAGAAUUGAAGGGAGAAAUUUACAUAAAACAACCUAAGGGUUUUGUAGUUUCUGGUAAAGAAAAGAAAUUGUGCAAACUUGUUAAAACACUUUAUGGAUUAAAACAAGCACCCAAAUAGUGGUAUAUAAAAUUUGACCAAACCAUGUUGGCAAACGAUUUCAGGAUAAACGAAUGUGAUAAAUGUGUUUACAUUAAAGACACUCCAAAUCACAAAGUCAUUAUUUGUUUGUAUGUGGAUGACAUGUUGACCAUCAGUAGAGACAUUCUAACAUAAAUGCUAUGAAAUAAAUGCCUGAGGGCAAGUUUGAUUUGAAAGACCUUAGAGUUGCUGACGUAAUCUUAGGGAUAAGAAUUUUUAGAACUCCAUAGGUAUUGGCGUUGUCACAGUCGCAUUACAUUGAAAAGGUGUUUGACAAGUUCAAGCAUUUAGAUUUCAAUAUUGUUGAGACUACAUUAGACAUGAGUUUUGCAUUUCAAAAGAAUGAAGGUGAAAGUAACUCACAGUUGGACUAUGCAAGAGUGUUGAAAAGUUUGGUGUAUAUAUCAUAAAUUGUACGUGAGAAGACAUAGAAUGCACUAUUAGUAAAUUAAGUCGGUAAAAGACUACUCCUAAUCAAACUCAUUGGAUGGAUAUGAAAAAAGUUUUAGGGUAUCUAAAACAUACCCAAGACUAUGUUUUUAUUAUAACAAAUAUCCAGCGUAGAUGAGGUGACUUUUCAAAAUAAUGUAAUUUUUCGUGAACCAUUACUUUCUUUCUGAAGCACCACAUUGUGGCUAUAAAUGCCUGAAUUUUUCCUCUGAUAAAGGUAUGAAGAUUUGAAGGGAAAAACAUUUUCUUUUUCUUCUUAAAACUCUGGUAUGAUCUUCAAACUAUUGAGUGAGUUCGUUGUUCAGAAAAUUUGAGGUACCACUAUUUUUUGAAGAGAAUCAUUUUUCGUAGGGAGGAUAUAUUCCUUUAACCUCGAGUACUUGACUAGAAUAAUUUUUUUAAGGAUACAUCGUGAAUUCAGUGGAUUUGACUCAAUCGUUUCUGUCUUCAUCCCAUUUUCUUAAAGUUGGUUUUAUUAUUUUUCCAGAAAAAUAGUUUGAACAUUAUAUUGAUAGUUCUUCAUUUGUUUGAACUUGUGUUUGAAGUUUUUGAAACUUCAUUUUGAUAGGUUAUAAGUUGUUGAACUUGUGUUGAAGUUAUUGUGGAUUAAAUACAGAUUUUGUACAAAAAAUAAUACGAAAUAGCUGUGAAACCUUGGGGAGCGACCAACUAAAAGAAUUUGCACCGAAGUCGAUCCGAAAUCACUUUCAAAGUAAUGGCUUACCACGACACAAUAUUUUCAGUUCCAUAUUAAUAUUAGAGUAAUUUUUCCAACAAGUGGCAAAGUUUGUUAUUUAACUACAAAAUUUGUUCGUCAACAAAUCCUUGUUUUUCUUUUGUUGGGUAGUAUAUUUUGGUUUUAUCUAAUCAAUCUAUUGACAAGCUAAGCGCCUACGAAAACGAUGUAGAUGUUCUACCUACGGGGGCGGGGGGGUGUCUAUUACAAUUACAAAAAUAAACUGAAUGUUGAGUUUCAGUUCCACUAACACCUUGCAAAAGUGAAUUACCCAUGAAAGAUGGGGGUAUUAUAUCAAAAAAAAAAAACAUAUCUUUUGUUGUUUUCUAAUUUCUAACGAUAUAUUUUUGAUCCAUUGCUUUCCCAUAGUAUGCUAACUUGACAGCCACUUUUUUUUGCUUUUCUAUAUACGUGGAACACUUUUUUUUUCGUCAAAAUGCGAAUCAUAAUUUAAUCCGUCAAUUUUUACUAAAUUGUAAUUGUCUUUUUUUUUUUAUAAACAGAGAUAGCAGGUAACCCAAGAAAAAAAAAUGUCUAGCAGAACAUAUUACGCAUCCUCGAAACUACUAUGACCUAUAAAACUAGAUGAUAAAAAAAUUGGUUUUAUCAUACUGGCACACUUGUAGAUGUUCCAUAAUUCAUGUAAAUUUACUUCAGAUGAAUUGUAGUUUUUGUGUUCAAAUUCAUAUAAAAACGAAAUGAUUUAAGUUUCGUUCUUUGAAUAUCGCCAUACAGAAAUAAAAUAGAACAAGGGGAGUACUUUUCUAGGUCUCUAUUUGAUAUUUUAUCAGUAACAAUUUGAAAAUAGUCAUAACUCAUACACGUAGUAGUAGGUGGAAAUGUUUCUGAUUGAAUUCGGCAUAAAAAUAUUUUUAUGGAAAAAAAGUUUCUUCUAGUUUUGGUUUAUAAGUGGAUCAAUUUUUGUGGAAAAAAAGUUUCUGCUAGUUUUGGUUUCUAAGUGGAUCAUUCCCUAGCGCUCUACUAAAUGAUUUAAUUUUAUAUAAAGAAGAUGAAAUUAUAAGAAAAAAGAGAAAAAAGAAAAAGACUAGAGAUCUAAAGAAGGGAAAACUUAAAGUAUGUGGUAAUAACUUCUUUUAUUCAUCACAUAAUCUCUGCAUUUUGCAAGGAGAUUGAAACUGAGCAAACAUACACAAAGACAUAAAAGUAAAAAUACAAAUAUAAAUAGAGUACAAACAAUAUCACUAAUAACUUAGAGAACAUGAAGCUACAAAAGAACUUCGCCUCCCGUGGGGCUUAUUGUUUACUCUUUUUUCUUCUUUUUGGCAUUGCCUCUCGAAAUGGAAAAUGCCUUUCCUUGAGCUCAACAUUCUGCUUUUCCUGCAUAAGAAUAUAAUAUUGUCAAUGAGAACAUAUAGUAACUGAUUAAUAAACCUAAUAAGUAGGAGAUAGCAUAGGCUUAUAUAUUAAUGCGUUUGCAUGAAGAAAUUGUGCAACUUGUAUUGAUUUGCAUUUAGACAAAUCAUUUUUAAGAAUUUUAGUUUGGCUUAAUUACCUUAGAUUUGAUGUUGUUGUUUCUUAGUGAUGGUAGGGAGGAGGUGGAGACUUGUAAACCGGAGUUGGUGGUGGUGGAGACUUGUAUACUGGUGCAGGAUGGUGUGGUGUUGGUGAAGGAUGGUAUGGAUUCACUGGUGGUGGUGACUUGUAAACGGGUGUUGGUGGUGGUGGAGAUUUGUAUACUGGUGCAGGGUGGUAUGACUUCACUGGUGGUGGUGGUGACUGGUAAACGGGUGUUGGUGGUGGUGGAGACUUAUAAACUGGUGCAGGAUGAUAUGGCUUCACUGGUGAUGGUGGUGACUUGUAAACGGGUGUUGGUGGUGGUGGAGACUUAUAAAUUGGUGUGGGAUGAUAUGGUGUUGGUGGAGGAUAGUAUGGCCUCUUAGGUGGUGGUGGUGACUUGUAAACUGGAGUUGGUGGUGGUGGCGACUUGUACACUGGAGUGUGUGGCGGGUAGUAUGGCUUUUUGGGUGGUGGUGGGGACUUGUAAACUGGAGUUGGGGGUGGUGGAGACUUGUAAACUGGGGUGUGUGGAGGGUAGUGUGGUGGUGACUUGUAAACUGGAGUCGGGGGUGGUGGAGACUUGUAAACUGGGGUGUGUGGAGGAUAAUGUGGCUUCUUUGGUGGUGGUGGGGACUUGUAAACUGGAGUGUGUGGAGGAUAGUGUGGCUUCUUCGGUGGUGGUGGUGACUUGUAAACAGGAGUUGGUGGUGGUGGCGACUUGUGAACUGGUGCGGGAUGAUAAGGUGUUGGUGAAGGGUGGUAUGGCUUCUUAGGUGGUGGUGGAGAUUUGUAAACAGGAUGAUGAUGGUGUGGUGGAGGGGACUUAUAUACUGGGUGGUGAUGGUUUGGUGGAGGAGACUUAUAUACUGGGUGGUGGG